UACGUAGGGGGCAAGCGUUGUCCGGAAUUAUUGGGCGUAAAGCGCGCGCAGGCGGUUCGGAAAGUCUGGUGUUUAAACUUGGGGCUCAACCCUAAGUCGCACGGGAAACUGCCGGACUUGAGUGCAGGAGAGGAAAGUGGAAUUCCACGUGUAGCGGUGAAAUGCGUAGAGAUGUGGAGGAACACCAGUGGCGAAGGCGACUUUCUGGCCUGUAACUGACGCUGAGGCGCGAAAGCGUGGGGAGCAAACAGG
RNAcentral lists this ribosomal RNA (252 nucleotides) under uncultured bacterium. Its description in RNAcentral is "partial 16S ribosomal RNA". It matches the Rfam family "Bacterial small subunit ribosomal RNA", at positions 524 to 776 of the family's 1533-position model. The record is from RNAcentral.